RNAcentral lists this ribosomal RNA (253 nucleotides) under uncultured bacterium. Its description in RNAcentral is "partial 16S ribosomal RNA". It matches the Rfam family "Bacterial small subunit ribosomal RNA", at positions 524 to 776 of the family's 1533-position model. The record is from RNAcentral.
UACGUAGGGGGCAAGCGUUGUCCGGAUUUAUUGGGCGUAAAGAGCGUGUAGGCGGCCCGGUAAGUCCGCUGUGAAAGUCGGGGGCUCAACCCUCGAAUGCCGGUGGAUACUGUCGGGCUAGAGUGCGGAAGAGGCGAGUGGAAUUCCUGGUGUAGCGGUGAAAUGCGCAGAUAUCAGGAGGAACACCAGUGGCGAAGGCGGUGCUCUGGGCCGGAACUGACGCUGAGGAGCGAAAGCGUGGGGAGCAAACAGG